GGAGCGCGCCCGGCAGCGGCACCGGGACCGCCGGAGCGCGCCCGGCACCGGGACCGCCCGGGUGGGUGCGGCUCCCCAGGGAAGAGGGCGGCGAUGCCCCUCGGGACGCCGCGGGCUGCAGCGGGUGCAGGGAGAUGCCGUAGGGACGCUGCGGCUGUGGAGCAGCCUCCGUGCCCCCCCGGGUGUCCGCAGGGACCCGGCGCUGCCGUGUCCCGGUGAGUCCCGUGCCGUCCCGCCGGGAGCAGCGAGCGCAGCGCCUGGGCCGGUCCGCUGCGGCCCCGCCGCGGGACGUGCAGCGCUCGGAGCUGUCCCAAAGGCGGGGGCACACGCCGCUGGUUGCGCUGCUCCGCUUGGCAGCUCCCCGUGUCCGAAGCUAUUGCUCUAGCCACAGCAGAACGGCCGCGCUGGUACAGCUUCCGAACGGGGACGCUGUUGGCAGGAGGUCUGGAAAACAAAAUAAGGCUCUUUGCAUCUCCAGAGCUGCUGCCCUGGCGUGCUGCUCCCUCGGCAUCCUCGCGGGAAAUUUAAGGACAGUGUCUUCGGUAGGACCCUCCAAACAAAAACAUUUUCCCGUGUGAAUAACACACAAGGGAUGGCCAUGGAUUUGUGACCCCAGCAAAAGGCACCAGCUUGGAUCUGGCCUGCAAUAGCGCGAGUCGUCUGCCAACUGGGAUGUACUGGAGCUGCUCCUCUGUGGUCUGAAACGGUGAAUCAUCCCUCAUUUUGGCAUCUCUCAGGGUUUUCCAAAAAACUGGAAAAGGUGCCUCAGUGACUAAGGACUUUCAAUUGCUCGAUGCCCUGGUGGGAAGGAGUGGGGGCUGGCUCAGCUCCUCUCCAGUCCUGGCUCAAUCUGCCCAGUCCUACCGUGUUCCACUCGCUGGACUCACAGCACCAAACUGCUCCUGGCUCCUCUGUUUCCUCUCAAAGCAGCUUACAUUUUUAUUCAGGAUAGUUAUUUUUUUCCUGAUUGUCCUUUAGGAGCAAGUUUAUGAUGAAUCAGAAGAAACCACUUUUAAAAUGCAUUACAUAUAGGUUGCACCAGUUUAAUUAGGGCAAGUUUAAAUGUCUCCUGAAAUUAAGCCAGUGCAUAUUUCUUCAAAAAAGAAGCAAGUGAAAAUACUGGAGGUCCAAAGGUGUGGUAGGAUGUAUGAGCAGGAGAUGGUGCAGUGUGUGAAAGUACAGCAGUGUUUGUGGAAAGCAGCAUUAAACGUACAGAAUAGAUCUAUACAUCAAAAAUUUGCUUAGAAAAUAAGCAUUGCUUUUGUGGAGUGAUACAGCUAAAUUAAAUUUAGAUUUUUAACAAAUGCUUCUACCUGAAAGUUUAAUUAAAACAUAGUAGAUAUUAAGAUCCAAUUUGCUAUUGUGCAAAUAUAAAGAAUAAUUAUUUGGGUUGGAAAAAAUAGAAAUCUACCCAAUAUUACUUUUUUUUGAGUCACAGAGUUUAUUGAUUUUAUCAGAGAACAUUCCAUGCUCACUUAGUCCUAAGUCCUCACUUAGUUGCUCCUGAACUUCAUUUGCAUACAACCAUCUCCACAAUUUUCGUAAGAGAAUGGAAAGCUAGACAUAUGAUUCUGCACCUAGUCCUGACUAUGAAACAAAUUUUAGUGCCCAUUUUUCUAAUACUGUGACAUUAAACUGGGUUUAAUUAAACUGGUUUCCCUAAAAACCACCCUGGAGGAAACUGAAUUGCUUUGUAACUUUAGAAAUAAAAGUUACCUUCCCACUGGAUGGAGAAAAUGG
This is a long non-coding RNA of Parus major (Great Tit), 1740 nucleotides long. Lineage: Eukaryota; Metazoa; Chordata; Aves; Passeriformes; Paridae. The record is from Ensembl.